This 482-nucleotide ribosomal RNA is filed under the name uncultured bacterium. RNAcentral describes it as "bacterial SSU rRNA". It matches the Rfam family "Bacterial small subunit ribosomal RNA", at positions 29 to 506 of the family's 1533-position model. The record is from RNAcentral.
ACGAACGCUGGCGGCGUGCCUAACACAUGCAAGUCGAACGAGAAAGGGGCUUCGGCCCUGAGUAAAGUGGCGCACGGGUGUGUAAUACUUAGGAAUCUGGCUAUUAGUGGGGGACAACAUUUCGAAAGGGAUGCUAAUACCGCAUACGUCCUACGGGAGAAAGCAGGGGAUCUUCGGACCUUGCGCUAAUAGAUGAGCCUAAGUCGGAUUAGCUAGUUGGUGGGGUAAAGGCCUACCAAGGCGACGAUCUGUAGCGGGUCUGAGAGGAUGAUCCGCCACACUGGGACUGAGACACGGCCCAGACUCCUACGGGAGGCAGCAGUGGGGAAUAUUGGACAAUGGGGGGAACCCUGAUCCAGCCAUGCCGCGUGUGUGAAGAAGGCCUUAUGGUUGUAAAGCACUUUAAGCGAGGAGGAGGGUACUGGUAUUAAUACUACCAGGUACUGGACGUUACUCGCAGAAUAAGCACCGGCUAACUCUGU